CAGAUAUUUUGAGGCUGUGAGGUUGAACGUUUGAGAGUAUAUCAGUGUGUUUGUUUGUGGUCUUUCUGUUUCUAAGUGGAAGCUGAAUUAGUGAGGAUGACUCCUGCUCCUGUCAUCUCUAAGCUCCUCACACAUCUUUACCUGCACAUGAGGAAAAUCACUCCUGUAGAAUGCAGAUGUUCAGAGGGAGAUGAUGCCACAUCUGGUCCAGCUGAUGGAAGGUCUUGAAGUUCUCUGACUGGCCUCGACUGAAGAUGGUCGUCUCACUGGAUUUAAGAUGCACAAUGAGGGACGUCUGCAGAGACUGAGAAAGAGUCUCACCACAUCCUGACAUGAAGAAAAAGACUUUAUUGAAGACUACAAUGAGAAAAACUAUCAGACAGCAGACGGCUGCAUUCAAGUCUGUAGCUGCUGAAUUCAUGG
Amphiprion ocellaris (clown anemonefish) is the source of this 423-nucleotide long non-coding RNA. NCBI's taxonomy places the organism in Eukaryota, Metazoa, Chordata, Actinopteri, Pomacentridae. The record is from Ensembl.